CGGGUGAGUAACACGUGGGUAACCUGCCCUUACCCUAGGGGAUAACAUUUGGAAACAGAUGCUAAUACCGUAUAAAUCUCAGAAACACAUGUUUCUGAGCUGAAAGGCGGCUUUCGAGCUGUCGCUUUUGGAUGGACCCGCGGCGUAUUAGCUAGUUGGUGAGGUAAAGGCUCACCAAGGCAGUGAUACGUAGCCGACCUGAGAGGGUGAUCGGCCACAUUGGGACUGAGACACGGCCCAAACUCCUACGGGAGGCAGCAGUAGGGAAUCUUCCACAAUGGACGAAAGUCUGAUGGAGCAACGCCGCGUGAGUGAAGAAGGUUUUCGGAUCGUAAAACUCUGUUGUUGGAGAAGAACACGUUUGAGAGUAACUGUUCAGACGUUGACGGUAUCCAACCAGAAAGCCACGGCUAACUACGUGCCAGCAGCCGCGGUAAUACGUAGGUGGCAAGCGUUAUCCGGAUUUAUUGGGCGUAAAGCGAGCGCAGGCGGUUUUUUAAGUCUGAUGUGAAAGCCUUCGGCUUAACCGAAGAAGUGCAUCGGAAACUGGGAAACUUGAGUGCAGAAGAGGACAGUGGAACUCCAUGUGUAGUGGUGAAAUGCGUAGAUAUAUGGAAGAACACCAGUGGCGAAGGCGGCUGUCUGGUCUGUAACUGACGCUGAGGCUCGAAAGCAUGGGUAGCGAACAGGAUUAGAUACCCUGGUAGUCCAUGCCGUAAACGAUGAAUGCUAGGUGUUGGAGGGUUUCCGCCCUU
Molecule: ribosomal RNA, 755 nt
Filed under: uncultured bacterium
Lineage: Bacteria
Description: bacterial SSU rRNA
Rfam family: Bacterial small subunit ribosomal RNA
Source: RNAcentral